RNAcentral lists this ribosomal RNA (253 nucleotides) under uncultured bacterium. RNAcentral's name for it is "partial 16S ribosomal RNA". It matches the Rfam family "Bacterial small subunit ribosomal RNA", at positions 524 to 776 of the family's 1533-position model. The record is from RNAcentral.
GACGUAGGGCGCGAGCGUUGUCCGGAUUUAUUGGGCGUAAAGAGCGUGUAGGCGGCCCGAUAAGUCCGCUGUGAAAGUCCAGGGCUCAACCCUGGGAUGCCGGUGGAUACUGUCGGGCUCGAGUCCGGAAGAGGAGUGUGGAAUUCCUGGUGUAGCGGUGAAAUGCGCAGAUAUCAGGAGGAACACCCAUGGCGAAGGCAGCACUCUGGGACGUGACUGACGCUGAGACGCGAAAGCGUGGGGAGCAAACAGG